CCUACGGGAGGCAGCAGUCGAGAAUCAUUCACAAUGGGGGAAACUCUGAUGGUGCGACGCCGCGUGGGGGAAUGAAGGUCUUCGGAUUGUAAACCCCUGUCAUGUGGGAGCAAAUUAAAAAGAUAGUACCACAAGAGGAAGAGACGGAUAACUCUGUGCCAGCCGCCGCGGUACUACAGAGGUCUCACGCGUUGUUCGGAAUCACGGGGCGUAAAGCGUGUGUAGGCUGUUUCGUAAGUCGUGUGUGAAAGGCGCGGGCUCAACCCGCGGACGGCACAUGAUACUGCGAGACUAGAGUAAUGGAGGGGGAACCGGAAUGCUCGGUGUAGCAGUGAAAUGCGGAGAUAUAGGGAGGAACACUCGUGGCGAAGGCGGGUUCCUGGACAUUAACUGACGCUGAGGCACGAAGGCCAGGGGAGCGAAAGGGAUUAGAUACCCGGGUAGUC
RNAcentral lists this ribosomal RNA (446 nucleotides) under uncultured bacterium. RNAcentral describes it as "partial 16S ribosomal RNA". It matches the Rfam family "Bacterial small subunit ribosomal RNA", at positions 338 to 795 of the family's 1533-position model. The record is from RNAcentral.